GCUUGACACUGAACAUUGAGCCUUGAUGUGUAGGAUAGGUGGGAGGCUUUGAAGUGUGGACGCCAGUCUGCAUGGAGCCGACCUUGAAAUACCACCCUUUAAUGUUUGAUGUUCUAACGUGGACCCGUAAUCCGGGUUGCGGACAGUGUCUGGUGGGUAGUUUGACUGGGGCGGUCUCCUCCUAAAGAGUAACGGAGGAGCACGAAGGUUGGCUAAUCCUGGUCGGACAUCAGGAGGUUAGUGCAAUGGCAUAAGCCAGCUUGACUGCGAGCGUGACGGCGCGAGCAGGUGCGAAAGCAGGUCAUAGUGAUCCGGUGGUUCUGAAUGGAAGGGCCAUCGCUCAACGGAUAAAAGGUACUCCGGGGAUAACAGGCUGAUACCGCCCAAGAGUUCAUAUCGACGGCGGUGUUUGGCACCUCGAUGUCGGCUCAUCACAUCCUGGGGCUGAAGUAGGUCCCAAGGGUAUGGCUGUUCGCCAUUUAAAGUGGUACGCGAGCUGGGUUUAGAACGUCGUGAGACAGUUCGGUCCCUAUCUGCCGUGGGCGCUGGAGAACUGAGGGGGGCUGCUCCUAGUACGAGAGGACCGGAGUGGACGCAUCACUGGUGUUCGGGUUGUCAUGCCAAUGGCACUGCCCGGUAGCUAAAUGCGGAAGAGAUAAGUGCUGAAAGCAUCUAAGCACGAAACUUGCCCCGA
Molecule: ribosomal RNA, 694 nt
Filed under: Salmonella enterica
Lineage: Bacteria; Pseudomonadati; Pseudomonadota; Gammaproteobacteria; Enterobacterales; Enterobacteriaceae
Also listed under: 2 other names
Description: partial 23S ribosomal RNA
Rfam family: Bacterial large subunit ribosomal RNA
Source: RNAcentral